AUCCCAAAAAAGUGUAAAUCAAUACCAAAAAUACACAAAAAGUUUGAAGAAUCAAAACCACAGAACAUGAACACAACCAGAUUCAAUACAGCCACUUCUACACACACUCAUGUAGUUAGUACAAUUUUUGUAAUAAUUGAAUGAAGAUGAGAUUACUCAGAUUUUGAAUAUGUGUUUUAAGGGUCUGACGAAUUCAUCCGUAUGGUUGAUUUUUCAUAAAUUUAGGCUUGGAUUGAAUAACUCAGAUUUUAAGUGCAAAUUUUACAUGUCAUUUACUAACAUACAAAAUAUGAGUCAUCUAAUUUUUUAUCCUGCGGUUCCAAGUUACUAAAUGGGUGAAUGAGUGCUUAACUGAACUAAGGGAAUCCAAAUACGAAUAUGACCAUUUUACUUUGGAUGAAGUAAAGAACAAAAAAAAUAACUUUUUAAAGUUUAAAUCCAAGACUAGAACUUUAAAUACAAUCAGGUAAAAUGAAAAAGCAGCUACCAAGUUAAUGAUUUAGUUUAUAUGAAAAAUGAAUUAAGGCUCAGAAAUUUUUGGAAGUAUUAAACAAAGACCAAAAUGUAACAAACCUUGUUGCUGAAGGGGACUAGAUCACCAAGGGAAUUGGUGGUUUUCUGGCCCAAUCUAAGGUAAGCAGGGCUUCCACGAUCUCUCUCAUUGAUCUCAUACACACUUAGUUCUUGGACUUUGGCUGCAAGAUCAAGCAAAAAAACCAAAAGGGUCAGCACAGAAUCAAGUAAAUCCCACAGAUCUUCAAUGUACACAGCAUUAAUAGAUCUAACAACAAGAUUGAAAACCUUGUAGGGGAAGCUGGCACAUAUACCUGAAUCAGAUGUUCGUUCAGCCUGGCUUCUACAAGUGAAACUCUUGUGGGGGAAUGAGAGGUGAGAGUACUGAGAAGAGGUACUGAGUUUGAGAGAUUUGGAUAGAGAUGAGUGUGAGGAAGUAAAGGGUAAAAGGGUUGUGGUGGAUGAUGUGGUGAGUGAUGAUC
RNAcentral lists this long non-coding RNA (995 nucleotides) under Phaseolus vulgaris (common bean). Its description in RNAcentral is "long non-coding RNA (PVUL_LNC003360)". The record is from RNAcentral. Lineage: Eukaryota; Viridiplantae; Streptophyta; Magnoliopsida; Fabales; Fabaceae.